RNAcentral lists this ribosomal RNA (614 nucleotides) under Oxyserica pygidialis. RNAcentral's name for it is "partial 16S large subunit ribosomal RNA". It matches the Rfam family "Bacterial large subunit ribosomal RNA", at positions 1844 to 2734 of the family's 2925-position model. Lineage: Eukaryota; Metazoa; Arthropoda; Insecta; Coleoptera; Scarabaeidae. The record is from RNAcentral.
UUUAAAGUCUAAUCUGCCCUAUGAGGAUUUAAAUGGCCGCGGUAUUUUGACCGUGCAAAGGUAGCAUAAUAAUUAGUUUUUUAAUUGAAAGCUGGUAUGAAUGAUUGAACGAGAAAAUAGCUGUCUCAAUUUAAUUUUUUUAGAAUUUUAUUUUUAAGUAAGAAAGCUUAAAUUUAAUUGAAAGACGAGAAGACCCUAUAGAGUUUUAUUAUUAAUUAGUUUUUAAUUUUUUAGUAUAUUUUUAUUAUUAAUUAUUUAGUAAUUUUAUUGGGGCGAUAGAAAAAUAUUAUAAACUUUUUUUAAAUUAUUUAAGCAUUAAUUUAUGAUUAAUUGAUCCAUUAUUUAUGAUUAUAAGAUUAAAUUACCUUAGGGAUAACAGCGUAAUGUUUUUUUAGAGUUCUUAUCGAAAGAAAAGAUUGCGACCUCGAUGUUGGAUUAAAAUUAAUACUAGGUGUAGUAGUUUAGUAAUUAGGUCUGUUCGACCUUUAAAAUUUUACAUGAUCUGAGUUUAAACCGGUGUGAGCCAGGUUGGUUUCUAUCUUUAAUAAGUUAAAGUAUUUUAGUACGAAAGGACCAAAUAUUUGUAAUAUUUAUUAGAUUUUGAUUAAUAUUAG